UGUGGGAGCGGGCUUGCUCGCGAAUGCGGUGGGUCAGUUAUGAAUUUUCUGACUGACACACCGCAUUCGCGAGCAAGCCCGCUCCCACA
RNAcentral lists this unclassified non-coding RNA (89 nucleotides) under Pseudomonas salomonii. The record is from RNAcentral. Lineage: Bacteria; Pseudomonadati; Pseudomonadota; Gammaproteobacteria; Pseudomonadales; Pseudomonadaceae.